GACGAACGCUGGCGGCGUGCCUAAUACAUGCAAGUCGAACGCUGAAGCUUGGUGCUUGCACCGAGCGGAUGAGUUGCGAACGGGUGAGUAACGCGUAGGUAACCUGCCUGGUAGCGGGGGAUAACUAUUGGAAACGAUAGCUAAUACCGCAUAACAGUAGAUAUCGCAUGAUAGCUACUUGAAAGGUGCAAAUGCACCACUACCAGAUGGACCUGCGUUGUAUUAGCUAGUUGGUGAGGUAACGGCUCACCAAGGCAACGAUACAUAGCCGACCUGAGAGGGUGAUCGGCCAAACUGGGACUGAGAAAAGGCCCAGACUCCUACGGGAGGCAGCAGUAGGGAAUCUUCGGCAAUGGACGGAAGUCUGACCGAGCAAAGCCGCGUGAGUGAAGAAGGUUUUCGGAUCGUAAAGCUCUGUUGUAAGAGAAGAACGAGUGUGAGAGUGGAAAGUUCACACUGUGACGGUAUCUUACCAGAAAGGGACGGCUAACUACGUG
Molecule: ribosomal RNA, 497 nt
Filed under: uncultured bacterium
Lineage: Bacteria
Description: partial 16S ribosomal RNA
Rfam family: Bacterial small subunit ribosomal RNA
Source: RNAcentral